UAGGGAAUCUUCCACAAUGGGCGCAAGCCUGAUGGAGCAACACCGCGUGAGUGAAGAAGGGUUUCGGCUCGUAAAGCUCUGUUGUUAAAGAAGAACAUGCGAGAGAGUAACUGUUCUUGUAUUGACGGUAUCUAACCAGAAAGCCACGGCUAACUACGUGCUAG
Molecule: ribosomal RNA, 164 nt
Filed under: uncultured bacterium
Lineage: Bacteria
Description: partial 16S rRNA
Rfam family: Bacterial small subunit ribosomal RNA
Source: RNAcentral